This 217-nucleotide unclassified non-coding RNA is filed under the name soil metagenome. Its description in RNAcentral is "partial contains 5.8S ribosomal RNA, internal transcribed spacer 2, and large subunit ribosomal RNA". The record is from RNAcentral.
AACCUUAUGGACCUGCGGGCGUAUACCUGCGGAGGGAUCAUUACAAGUGACCCCGGUUUACCACCGGGAUGUUCAUAACCCUUUGUUGUCCGACUCUGUUGCCUCCGGGGCGACCCUGCCUUCGGGCGGGGGCUCCGGGUGGACACUUCAAACUCUUGCGUAACUUUGCAGUCUGAGUAAACUUAAUUAAUAAAUUAAAACUUUUAACAAUGGAUCU